RNAcentral lists this long non-coding RNA (219 nucleotides) under Elaeis guineensis (African oil palm). Its description in RNAcentral is "long non-coding RNA (EGUI_LNC039346)". The record is from RNAcentral. Lineage: Eukaryota; Viridiplantae; Streptophyta; Magnoliopsida; Arecales; Arecaceae.
GAGGAGUCUGGGGAUCCUAUGGAAGUCUGGAUGGCGUUGUUGAAGUCCGGCUGACGCUAUUGAAGAUUAAUGGCUGGGGAGGUUCAGCAGACACCGAAGACGAUUGGCUGUUGUAGAAAUCCAGCUGCUGGAGCCCGUCUGUUAUAGAAGCUCGUCCGGAAUCCAUCCGCUAUGGAAGUUUGGACGGAGUCCGAUUCUUGCACGGAGUCCGAUUAUUGU